CAAAAACAUGUCUUUUUGAUAAUGAUUUAAGGUCGGGCCUGCCCAAUGAUUUUUAAAUGGCCGCAGUAUUUUGACUGUGCAAAGGUAGCAUAAUCAUUAGUUCCUUAAUUAGGAGCUGGUAUGAAUGGCUUGAUGAAAGACUAACUGUCUCUGUCUGGUUUUUCUAGAAUUUUAUUUUUAAGUUAAAAAGCUUAAAUUUGAUAUAAAGACGAGAAGACCCUAUAGAGUUUAAUAGUUGAUUAGUGAGGGUUUUGAAGGGUUUUUUAUUUUCUGGUUGAUUUCCUAUUUCGUUGGGGUGAUGUGAAAGUUAAGCAAACCUUUCAUUGUUUUAACAUUAAUUAAUGGUUUAUUGAUCCUUGGUUGAAGAUUAUAAGACUAAAUUACCUUAGGGAUAACAGCGUAAUUUCUUCUGAAAGUUCUUAUUGACGAGGAAGUUUGCGACCUCGAUGUUGGAUUAAAAUUUACUUUUGGUGUAGCAGCUAAACAGUUGGGUCUGUUCGACCUUUAAAAUUUUACAUGAUCU
RNAcentral lists this ribosomal RNA (523 nucleotides) under Isopus paniei. RNAcentral's name for it is "partial 16S ribosomal RNA". It matches the Rfam family "Bacterial large subunit ribosomal RNA", at positions 1808 to 2606 of the family's 2925-position model. Lineage: Eukaryota; Metazoa; Arthropoda; Insecta; Coleoptera; Tenebrionidae. The record is from RNAcentral.